Molecule: transfer RNA, 75 nt
Filed under: Alphaproteobacteria bacterium
Lineage: Bacteria; Pseudomonadati; Pseudomonadota; Alphaproteobacteria
Also listed under: 1 other name
Description: tRNA-Asn
Rfam family: tRNA
About the family: Transfer RNA (tRNA) molecules are approximately 80 nucleotides in length. Their secondary structure includes four short double-helical elements and three loops (D, anti-codon, and T loops).
Source: RNAcentral
UCCUCGGUAGCUCAGUGGUAGAGCAGGUGACUGUUAAUCACUUGGUCGCUGGUUCGAAUCCGGCCCGGGGAGCCA